GAGUGCACUACUAGGCCUUAAUUGCCCUGAUCAGCCUCACCUGGGCAUUCACCCUCCGCCAGGAGCUCUGUUUGAGGUUAGGCAUGGAGGCAGAGUCUUUCCUAGAGUUACACUAUAGAGAAGCUCUGCUUUUCCUGUUUCCUGAUGUGGAACCUGUUUCUGGCCCCAUGGCGUUACGUACAUUUAAGGAAUCAAAACUAUUCCAAUCAGUUCCUCCCACGAAGCUACAGAAGAGCUAAAGGGAACAGUGCAUGCUUCGUGUGAAUGAAGAACAUUGCUGAUCCACAGCUAGGGGGACCAGAUGAUCCAGUCUGAAGUGCAAAGUUCAAAAUCCCCAGCGUGCCUCCAGUCCUUGCUGUCUUGCACUACAGAAUCUACAGUUUCUUUAUUAGUAGAACCCAGCGUCUAUGGGAAGAAAUGGACAUAGAGAACCCCUAAUAAAAAGGAUUGUUUUAACUUUGGAAUACA
This 468-nucleotide long non-coding RNA is filed under the name Anas platyrhynchos platyrhynchos (common mallard). Its description in RNAcentral is "lncRNA (ENSAPLG00000020975.1)". Lineage: Eukaryota; Metazoa; Chordata; Aves; Anseriformes; Anatidae. The record is from RNAcentral.